UCCUACGGGGAGCAGCAGUGGGGAAUCUUAGACAAUGGGCGCAAGCCUGAUCUAGCCAUGCCGCGUGUGUGAUGAAGGCCUUAGGGUCGUAAAGCUCUUUCGCCAGAGAUGAUAAUGACAGUAUCUGGUAAAGAAACCCCGGCUAACUCCGUGCCAGCAGCCGCGGUAAUACGGAGGGGGUUAGCGUUGUUCGGAAUUACUGGGCGUAAAGCGUACGUAGGCGGAUCAGAAAGUAGGGGGUGAAAUCCCAGGGCUCAACCCUGGAACUGCCUCCUAAACUCCUGGUCUUGAGUUCGAGAGAGGUGAGUGGAAUUCCAAGUGUAGAGGUGAAAUUCGUAGAUAUUUGGAGGAACACCAGUGGCGAAGGCGGCUCACUGGCUCGAUACUGACGCUGAGGUACGAAAGUGUGGGGAGCAAACAGGAUUAGAUACCCUGGUAGUCCACACCGUAAACGAUGAAUGCCAGUCGUCGGGCAGUAUACUGUUCGGUGACACACCUAACGGAUUAA
RNAcentral lists this ribosomal RNA (508 nucleotides) under uncultured bacterium. RNAcentral describes it as "bacterial SSU rRNA". It matches the Rfam family "Bacterial small subunit ribosomal RNA", at positions 337 to 863 of the family's 1533-position model. The record is from RNAcentral.